This 690-nucleotide ribosomal RNA is filed under the name uncultured Acidobacteriota bacterium. RNAcentral describes it as "bacterial SSU rRNA". It matches the Rfam family "Bacterial small subunit ribosomal RNA", at positions 15 to 683 of the family's 1533-position model. The record is from RNAcentral. Lineage: Bacteria; Pseudomonadati; Acidobacteriota.
GAUCCUGGCUCAGAAUCAACGCUGGCGGCGUGCCUCAGACAUGCAAGUCGAACGCGAAAGUCCCCUUCGGGGGGCGAGUAGAGUGGCGCACGGGUGAGUAACACGUAGGUAAUCUACCUUCGGGUGGGGAAUAACCCAGGGAAACUUGGGCUAACACCGCAUAAUGCAGCGGCACCACAUGGUGACAGUUGUUAAAGCGGGGGAUUUUAGGACCUCGCGCCUGAAGAGGAGCCUGCGGCAGAUUAGCUAGUUGGUAAGGUAACGGCUUACCAAGGCGACGAUCUGUAACCGGCCUGAGAGGGCGGUCGGUCACACUGACACUGACAUACGGGUCAGACUCCUACGGGAGGCAGCAGUCGGGAAUUUUGGGCAAUGGGCGAAAGCCUGACCCAGCAACGCCGCGUGAAGGAUGAAAUCCCUCGGGAUGUAAACUUCGCAAGAUUGGGAAGAAUUAGUAGGGGUUAAUACCCCCUAUGAUGACGGUACCAUUUGUAAGCUCCGGCUAACUCCGCGCCAGCAGCCGCGGUAAUACGGGGGGAGCAAGCGUUGUUCGGAUUUACUGGGCGUAAAGGGCGCGUAGGCGGUCAGCACAAGUCAGUUGUGAAAUCUUCGGGCUUAACUCGGAACGGUCAACUGAUACUGUGCGACUAGAGUGCAGAAGGGGCAACUGGAAUUCUCGGUGUAGCGGUG